CCCAGACUCCUACGGGAGGCAGCAGUGAGGAAUAUUGGUCAAUGGGCGAGAGCCUGAACCAGCCAAGUCGCGUGAGGGAAGACGGUCCUAUGGAUUGUAAACCUCUUUUGCCGGGGAGCAAAAAGCGGUACGUGUACCGCAUCGAGAGUACCCGGAGAAAAAGCAUCGGCUAACUCCGUGCCAGCAGCCGCGGUAAUACGUAGGGGGCAAGCGUUAUCCGGAUUUACUGGGUGUAAAGGGAGCGUAGACGGCGACGCAAGUCUGAAGUGAAAUGCCAGUGCUCAACACUGGAACUGCUUUGGAAACUGUGUAGCUAGAGUGCAGGAGAGGUAAGUGGAAUUCCUAGUGUAGCGGUGAAAUGCGUAGAUAUUAGGAGGAACACCAGUGGCGAAGGCGGCUUACUGGACUGUAACUGACGUUGAGGCUCGAAGGCGUGGGGAGCAAACAGGAUUAGAUACCCUAGUA
This 465-nucleotide ribosomal RNA is filed under the name uncultured bacterium. RNAcentral's name for it is "bacterial SSU rRNA". It matches the Rfam family "Bacterial small subunit ribosomal RNA", at positions 330 to 792 of the family's 1533-position model. The record is from RNAcentral.